ACAAGACGGUGGAGCAUGUGGUUUAAUUCGAAGCAACGCGAAGAACCUUACCAGAUCUUGACAUCCAAUUGACCAUCUUUUAAUCGAGAUUUUGCCUUCGGUACGAAUUGAGACAGGUGGUGCAUGGUUGUCGUCAGCUCGUGUCGUGAGAUGUUGGGUUAAGUCCCGCAACGAGCGCAGCCUUGUGUUUAGUUGCAAACAGGUCAAGCUGUGCACUCUAGACAGACUGCCGUGGACAACACGGAGGAAGGUGGGGAUGACGUCAAAUCAUCAUGCCCCUUAUGAUCUGGGCUACACACGUGCUACAAUGGCCGGUACAACGGGCAGCGAAGGAGCGAUCCGGAGCGAAUCCUAAAAAGCCGGUCCCAGUUCGGAUUGCAGGCUGAAACUCGCCUACAUGAAGUUGGAGUUGCUAGUAAUCGCGAAUCAGAAUGUCGCGGUGAAUGCGUUCCCGGGUCUU
RNAcentral lists this ribosomal RNA (460 nucleotides) under uncultured Fusibacter sp. RNAcentral describes it as "bacterial SSU rRNA". It matches the Rfam family "Bacterial small subunit ribosomal RNA", at positions 925 to 1382 of the family's 1533-position model. Lineage: Bacteria; Bacillati; Bacillota; Clostridia; Eubacteriales; Fusibacteraceae. The record is from RNAcentral.